Molecule: ribosomal RNA, 254 nt
Filed under: uncultured bacterium
Lineage: Bacteria
Description: partial 16S ribosomal RNA
Rfam family: Bacterial small subunit ribosomal RNA
Source: RNAcentral
UACGUAGGGUGCAAGCGUUAAUCGGAAUUACUGGGCGUAAAGCGUGCGCAGGCGGUUAUGCAAGACAGAUGUGAAAUCCCCGGGCUUAACCUGGGAACCGCAUUUGUGACUGCAUAGCUGGAGUACUGGCAGAGGGGGAUGGAAUUCCGCGUGUAGCAGUGAAAUGCGUAGAUAUGCGGAGGAACACCGAUGGCGAAGGCAGCCCCCUGGGUCAAGAUUGACGCUCAUGCACGAAAGCGUGGGGAGCAAACAGG